UUGGUUCCUCCGUGCAACUUCAUGCCUGACUUACAUUCAUAUUGUUCUUUCACCACACUUACGCUUCUCCAAAUUUAGAAAGAAGCUGUGUACACAGCGUUCUUGCAAGUUACAAUAACGCGUCCGGUUUGGCGGCAACUUCAAAGAGUGGACAUAUGGUUGCUCCUUCAGCCACAGCAAAGAUCCCGAACCACGUGCAGUCAGCAGAGUUACAGCGUCUGGUUACCGUCUUGCAGUUACGAUACAUAAUAUGUGCACAUAGCUUUCAAUGACCAGACGAAAAAAAGAAUUCAUUUCAAGUAUGUUGAGAAGAAAACGACCCAUCUCUGAAAAAAUCACCUCACCCAAGAAAAUACGACUCAUUCAUGAGAAUGAAAGUGCAAAGUCUCCCAAGAAAUUGUCUUGUAAUAUAGCAUGUGAAUAAACAAUUUUUUGAAAUA
Molecule: long non-coding RNA, 440 nt
Organism: Haliotis rufescens (red abalone)
Lineage: Eukaryota; Metazoa; Mollusca; Gastropoda; Lepetellida; Haliotidae
Exons: 4
Source: RefSeq, a predicted model, not a curated record